UACGUAGGGUGCGAGCGUUAAUCGGAAUUACUGGGCGUAAAGCGUGCGCAGGCGGUUUUGUAAGCCAGGUGUGAAAGCCCCGGGCUCAACCUGGGAAUGGCAUUUGGGACUGCAAGGCUUGAGUGCGGCAGAGGAGACUGGAAUUCCUGGUGUAGCAGUGAAAUGCGUAGAUAUCAGGAGGAACACCGAUGGCGAAGGCAGGUCUCUGGGCCAUAACUGACGCUGAGAAGCGAAAGCAUGGGGAGCGAACAGG
This 253-nucleotide ribosomal RNA is filed under the name uncultured bacterium. RNAcentral describes it as "partial 16S ribosomal RNA". It matches the Rfam family "Bacterial small subunit ribosomal RNA", at positions 524 to 776 of the family's 1533-position model. The record is from RNAcentral.